Molecule: ribosomal RNA, 468 nt
Filed under: uncultured bacterium
Lineage: Bacteria
Description: partial 16S ribosomal RNA
Rfam family: Bacterial small subunit ribosomal RNA
Source: RNAcentral
GACGAACGCUGGCGGCGUGCUUAACACAUGCAAGUCGAACGGAAAGGCCCUGCUUUUGUGGGGUGCUCGAGUGGCGAACGGGUGAGUAACACGUGAGUAACCUGCCCUUGACUUUGGGAUAACUUCAGGAAACUGGGGAUAAUACCGGAUAGGAGCUCCGGCUGCAUGGUGGGGGUUGGAAAGUUUCGGCGGCUGGGGAUGGACUCGCGGCUUAUCAGCUUGUUGGUGGGGUAGUGGCUUACCAAGGCUUUGACGGGUAGCCGGCCUGAGAGGGUGACCGGCCACAUUGGGACUGAGGUGCGGCCCAGACUCCUACGGGAGGCAGCAGUGGGGAAGAUUGCACAAUGGGCGGAAGCUGGAUGCAGCAACGCCGCGUGCGGGAAGACGGCCUUCGGGUUGUAAACCGCUUUCGCCUGUGACGAAGCGUGAGUGACGGUAAUGUGUAAAGAAGCACCGGCUUACUACGUG